Molecule: ribosomal RNA, 253 nt
Filed under: uncultured prokaryote
Description: partial 16S ribosomal RNA
Rfam family: Bacterial small subunit ribosomal RNA
Source: RNAcentral
UACGAGGGGGGCAAGCGUUGUUCGGAAUUAUUGGGCGUAAAGGGUGCGUAGGCGGUUCGGUAAGUCUCCAGUGAAAUCUAUGGGCUCAACCCAUAGUCUGCUGGGGAAACUGCCGGGCUUGAGUGUGGGAGAGGUGAGUGGAAUUCCCGGUGUAGCGGUGAAAUGCGUAGAUAUCGUAAGGAAGACCAGUGGCGAAGGCGGGUCUCUGGACAGAUCCUGACACUGAGGCACGAAGGCCAGGGGAGCAAACGGG